AAUGGGGCUCACCUCUUACCUUUCCGAACAGAGAAGUUAAGCCCAUUAGCGCCGAUGGUACUGCAGUUAUGUGGGAGAGUAGGUCGUCGCCUUCU
Molecule: ribosomal RNA, 95 nt
Filed under: Kordia sp.
Lineage: Bacteria; Pseudomonadati; Bacteroidota; Flavobacteriia; Flavobacteriales; Flavobacteriaceae
Source: RNAcentral